Molecule: unclassified non-coding RNA, 588 nt
Filed under: Hevea brasiliensis (rubber tree)
Lineage: Eukaryota; Viridiplantae; Streptophyta; Magnoliopsida; Malpighiales; Euphorbiaceae
Source: RNAcentral
AAGAUUCCAAAGAAAGGAAAGAUCUAUUCAGUGAAUGAAGGAAAUGCAAAGAACUGGGAUGGUCCAACUGCAAAGUAUGUUGAGAAGUGCAAGUUUCCUACAGAUGGUUCGUCUCCCAAGUCUUUGAGAUAUGUUGGAAGCAUGGUAGCUGAUGUCCAUCGUACAUUGCUUUAUGGUGGUAUAUUUUUGUACCCUGGUGACAAGAAGAGCCCUAAUGGGAAAUUGCGUGUGUUGUAUGAAGUUUUUCCAAUGGCAUUCUUGAUAGAGGAGGCAGGAGGUCAAGCGUUCACCGGAAAAAUAAGGGCACUUGACUUGGUUCCAAAGAAGAUACAUGAGAGAUCUCCCAUAUUUCUUGGUAGCUAUGAUGAUGUUGAAGAGAUCAAAGCUUUGUAUGCUGCUGCUGAGAAGGAAUGAAUGGAGGACUUCAAAACUUAGAACCAAGUUUACUUGUGAUUGAUGUUGGCUUCAUUGCUUUUGCCCCUUCUUAUAGUGUUUUCUAAUUGUAAUUGCAUUUGUUGCCAUAGAAUUUGAAUGUCUUUUUGAUUGUUCUUAGUUCUCUAAUGAUAAUGAAUGCAUAAAAUGUGGCCA